GAUAGGCUACAUUACUGAAAUCUACAUCAUGUUCCUGCUUCCUGAGCCUCGGGUUGUUUCUCCUUCCUUGCUUGCUUUAAUUGUGCAGUAGUAAAUGCAGCAUAAGCAAUUGGCGCCUGACAGUUUGAGAGAUAGAAUCCAAAAGAUGGAGAGAGCAGACGCAUCAAAAGAUGUUUUCGGCCUCAUAUUGAAGGACUUUAAUGACACCCCUGCGGACAGCCCUAGACACGACUGCAUAAGCAGCCACCUGCUGGAGCAUUGGUGAAGGUCUAGGUUCGCCUCCCUCCGGGGCCUGGUCACUCCUGCUGAUGGC
Long non-coding RNA from Mastomys coucha (southern multimammate mouse), 313 nucleotides. RefSeq lists it as uncharacterized. The transcript has 3 exons. Lineage: Eukaryota; Metazoa; Chordata; Mammalia; Rodentia; Muridae. The record is from RefSeq and is a predicted model, not a curated record.